CCUACGGGAGGCAGCAGUGGGGAAUAUUGGGCAAUGGGCGCAAGCCUGACCCAGCAACGCCGCGUGAAGGAUGAAGGUUUUCGGAUUGUAAACUUCUGUCGCGAGGGACGAAGAAUGACGGUACCUCGUAAGAAAGCGCCGGCUAACUACGUGCCAGCAGCCGCGGUAAUACGUAGGGGGCAAGCGUUAUCCGGAUUUACUGGGUGUAAAGGGAGCGUAGACGGCAGCACAAGUCUGGAGUGAAAUCCCGGGGCUUAACCCCGGAACUGCUUUGGAAACUGUGCGGCUGGAGUGCAGGAGGGGUAAGCGGAAUUCCUGGUGUAGCGGUGAAAUGCGUAGAUAUUAGGAGGAACACCGGUGGCGAAGGCGGCUUACUGGACUGUAACUGACGUUGAGGCUCGAAAGCGUGGGGAGCAAACAGGAUUAGAUACCCCAGUAGUC
Molecule: ribosomal RNA, 441 nt
Filed under: uncultured bacterium
Lineage: Bacteria
Description: partial 16S ribosomal RNA
Rfam family: Bacterial small subunit ribosomal RNA
Source: RNAcentral